Gossypium arboreum is the source of this 750-nucleotide long non-coding RNA. RefSeq lists it as uncharacterized. The transcript has 2 exons. NCBI's taxonomy places the organism in Eukaryota, Viridiplantae, Streptophyta, Magnoliopsida, Malvales, Malvaceae. The record is from RefSeq and is a predicted model, not a curated record.
AAAACAGGAUGGCAUCAAAUGAUAGUAAAAAGGGAAUGCAAGUAUUAGCAUUUGAACAUGGCAUGAAGGUUUACAUCAAAUAUUAUAAUAAUCAUCAUGAAUUAUUUAUAGUAAAUUUUUUUUUAAAAAAAAGGAAAGAAACAGAUAUGAAGAUGCUACAAGGAGUUUGCUUCAGAUGAUGGGAACAAGUGAGUUGGCAAGUCCUUUAAAAAAAGGGGCAGCAAAAUAAGAUUAAAAGACAAAGUCAUCUCCAAGUGGUCCUUUCUUUAUUACGUUUUUAAAGGUUCUUGAGCAGAGAAAUCCCAUUAUUGUUCAUCUCCUGCUUCUAUCAAAUUUUUUUUCAGGCAUAGCAGAGUCGCUGGUAAUCAUCACCAGGACCAGGGUAAGAAGGACCCAUGGCGAGUGAGGCACCAAGCUGGGCUGAUCAAUGGGGUGCUGGAGGAAUUGGUGCAAUGGAAGACGAGGAGGCUACAGCCAAGAAUGAGCACGACAAGAAGAAACCCCAAAGAAAAGGUGGACUGAAUAAAGCCAAAACAGCCGCUUUGAUGGGAGCCAAGAAAUUCAAGAAUGGGAUAUCCAAGGGCUUAACAUGGGUCAAGAAUAAAUGCCAGAAAAAGGGUUCCUCCAAAUGAACGUAACAUUAAAAAAAAUUGUAAUUGCCAACGCUUUGAUGUAUUCUUCAUUCAUUUUUGAGUGACCUAUAUUCUCCAAUUUAUGGCAACUUAACAGCAUAACAAAGUUUCUUGAGCA